RNAcentral lists this ribosomal RNA (440 nucleotides) under uncultured bacterium. RNAcentral's name for it is "partial 16S ribosomal RNA". It matches the Rfam family "Bacterial small subunit ribosomal RNA", at positions 338 to 795 of the family's 1533-position model. The record is from RNAcentral.
CCUACGCGCGGCAGCAGUGGGGAAUAUUGCACAAUGGGCGAAACCUUGAUGCAGCGACGCCGCGUGAGUGAAGAAGUAAUUCGUUAUGUAAAGCUCUAUCAGCAGGGAAGAAAAUGACGGUACCUGAGUAAGAAGCCCCGGCUAACUACGUGCCAGCAGCCGCGGUAAUCCGUAGGAGGCAAGCGUUACCCGGAUUUACUGGGUGUAAAGGGAGCGUAGACGGCAGUGCAAGUCUGGAGUGAAAGGCGGGGGCUCAACCCCCGGACUGCGUUGGAAACUGUACGACUGGAGUGCCGGAGAGGUAAGUGGAAUUCCAAGUGUAGCGGUGAAAUGCGUAGAUAUUAGGAGGGACACCAGUGGCGAAGGCGGCUUACUGGACUGUAACUGACGUUGAGGCUCGAAAGCGUGGGGAGCAAACAGGAUUAGAUACCCGGGUAGUC